AGAGUUUGAUCCUGGCUCAGGAUGAACGCUGGCGGCGUGCUUAACACAUGCAAGUCGAACGGUCUCUUCGGAGAUAGCGGCGGACGGGUGAGUAACGCGUGAGAAUCUGCCUUUAGGUUCGGGACAACAGUUGGAAACGACUGCUAAUACCGAAUGUGUCGCAAGAUGAAAGAUUUAUUGCCUAAAGAUGAGCUCGCGUCUGAUUAGCUAGUUGGUGGGGUAAAAGCGUACCAAGGCGACGAUCAGUAGCUGGUCUGAGAGGAUGAUCAGCCACACUGGGACUGAGACACGGCCCAGACUCCUACGGGAGGCAGCAGUGGGGAAUUUUCCGCAAUGGGCGAAAGCCUGACGGAGCAACGCCGCGUGAGGGAGGAAGGCUUUUGGGUUGUAAACCUCUUUUCUCAAGGAAGAUAAUGACGGUACUUGAGGAAUCAGCAUCGGCUAACUCCGUGCCAGCAGCCGCGGUAAUACGGAGGAUGCAAGCGUUAUCCGGAAUAAUUGGGCGUAAAGCGUUCGUAGGUGGUUUUGCAAGUCCUGCUGUUUAAAGCGUGUAGCUU
Molecule: ribosomal RNA, 557 nt
Filed under: uncultured cyanobacterium
Lineage: Bacteria; Bacillati; Cyanobacteriota
Description: bacterial SSU rRNA
Rfam family: Bacterial small subunit ribosomal RNA
Source: RNAcentral